This 619-nucleotide long non-coding RNA is filed under the name Gossypium raimondii (Peruvian cotton). Its description in RNAcentral is "long non-coding RNA (GRAI_LNC010881)". Lineage: Eukaryota; Viridiplantae; Streptophyta; Magnoliopsida; Malvales; Malvaceae. The record is from RNAcentral.
AAUCUCUCUCUCUCUCUCUCUCUCUAAAAACCUUUAGUUUCUUUCUCUUAAGAUAUCUUAUUUGAUUUUAAAUCAUUUUUUAAAUGAUUUUUGCAGAUGAUUUCAGAUGCAAUCGUUUCGUUGAAAGAGAGGACAGGAUCGAGCCAAUAUGCGAUCGCGAAAUUCAUCGAAGAGAAGUAUAAGCAAUUACCGGCGAAUUUCCGCAAAGUCUUACUUGUUCAGACGAAGAAGUUUGUUGCUUCUGGAAAGCUCGUCAAAGUGAAAGCCUCUUUUAAGCUGCCUUCGGCAUCUGCCGCAGCUAAGAAACCGGCCGCCGUAGCUAAGAAGCCUGCCGCCGCGAAGCCUAAAUCUGCAACUACCACUGCCGCCUCAAAGUCCAAGCCGAAGGCGACUAAAACCGCGUCGAAACCGAAAGCCAAAGCCAAAGUUGGAACGCCUGUGAAGGCAAAGGCUAAAGUUGCGGCGAAACCGAAGGCAACUACAACUAAGGCCAAAGCUAAACCAGCGGCUAAGCCAACUAAGGUAGCGAAGACGGCGAAGAAGAGUUCGCCAGGGAAGAAAGUAAAGGUUCCAGCAAAGAAGACAGUCGCUGUCAAGAAGCCGAAGAGUGUUAAAUCUC